CCCUUAGAUGUCCUGGGCCGCACGCGCGCUACACUGAUGCAUUCAACGAGUUUACCUUGGCCGAGAGGCCUGGGCAAUCUUUUAAACCUGCAUCGUGAUAGGGAUAGAUUAUUGCAAUUAUUAAUCUUGAACGAGGAAUUCCUAGUAAACGCAGAUCAUCAAUCUGCAUUGAUUACGUCCCUGCCCUUUGUACACACCGCCCGUCGCACCUACCGAUUGAAUGGUCCGGUGAAGCCUCGGGAUUGUGGCCAGCUCGCUUUAUUGGGAGUUGGACGCGAGAACUUGUCUAAACCUUAUCAUUUAGAGGAAGGUGAAGUCGUAACA
Molecule: ribosomal RNA, 324 nt
Filed under: uncultured eukaryote
Lineage: Eukaryota
Description: partial 18S ribosomal RNA
Rfam family: Eukaryotic small subunit ribosomal RNA
Source: RNAcentral